GGAAAGACAGUACUUCUAACUGGAAUACUGGAUAUAGGCUAUAACUUGAACUUUCACCGUAUAGCAAUACUCAAAGUAUACUCAAAAUACUCACAAGAAUACGCUCAAUAAUAUAGAGAGAGAAAACUUCAAUUUCUGGUGUGAUUUUCAAUUCUAGCCUAAACACCCUAUUUAUAGGAAAAUGCUUAGAACACCAAAGCAGAAAAUUUAUUAUAAUAUUAAUAUAUUUAAUAAUCUUUUACGCCCACUUUGACAACUGAUCUCAGAUCAUUAAACACAUGCUAGGGCUGCCCACUCAACAAAAAAAACAUUUUUAUUAAUAUAAAUAUUUAAAACUUCUAAAAAUCAAUUAUUUCGGAGCUUCGGAACUUCAAUAAUUCAUAAUAAAUAG
RNAcentral lists this long non-coding RNA (391 nucleotides) under Panax ginseng (ginseng). RNAcentral's name for it is "long non-coding RNA (PGIN_LNC010965)". The record is from RNAcentral. Lineage: Eukaryota; Viridiplantae; Streptophyta; Magnoliopsida; Apiales; Araliaceae.